GGAUUGUAGUCAGAUCAGGCAUUUUUCAUAAGUCCCUCAUCAGUCUCUUGGCUCAGCCCUUUGAUGUGUUGGCCCAUUUUAAUUACCCUGACUGAAAAAGUCUUACCUGGUCUCUUCUCCCUUUCCUUUCCUGCAGGUUACAGAAGGAACUCUCUUGGAAGGAUCCUACUCACAAACAGCUCUCAAGCGCUGCUGAUUUUUUAUUUCUUGUGUUUCUUGUGCCCCCCAUUGGGCGCCAUUUGUUACGGGAGCAACCUGCUAGUGGCUGCAAGCUAGUAGACACAUUUGCAAGUGAUCAUAAAAGGAGAAGAGGCAGAGAUAUGAAAAUGACGACCAUUGCUAUGAUUCCUAAAGGUUUGUAAAGCUUUUUUUAUUUGAUUCUUGAAAUCCUUCUAGAUAUGUGCUGUUAUUCCACAUCUUACAGGAGAAGAAAUCAAAACUCAAAGUAUUCAUCAGUUCACUGGGGGUCAUACGACUAUUAAAUACCAGAAGUAGGUUUGAGUCUAGGACCUUGUAACUCCAAGUAUAGUUAGUAACCCUUUCACUACACCAUUCUAUACCUAGAAAUGAAAUCAUAAUUGCCUUUUUUUAAAUAGACAACACUUCCAUCAGUUUCUCUGAAUAAUACCUUCA
Molecule: long non-coding RNA, 633 nt
Filed under: Sarcophilus harrisii (Tasmanian devil)
Lineage: Eukaryota; Metazoa; Chordata; Mammalia; Dasyuromorphia; Dasyuridae
Description: lncRNA (ENSSHAG00000028443.1)
Source: RNAcentral